RNAcentral lists this ribosomal RNA (689 nucleotides) under Salmonella enterica subsp. enterica serovar Reading. Its description in RNAcentral is "partial 23S ribosomal RNA". It matches the Rfam family "Bacterial large subunit ribosomal RNA", at positions 2245 to 2925 of the family's 2925-position model. Lineage: Bacteria; Pseudomonadati; Pseudomonadota; Gammaproteobacteria; Enterobacterales; Enterobacteriaceae. The record is from RNAcentral.
UUGCGGACAGUGUCUGGUGGGUAGUUUGACUGGGGCGGUCUCCUCCUAAAGAGUAACGGAGGAGCACGAAGGUUGGCUAAUCCUGGUCGGACAUCAGGAGGUUAGUGCAAUGGCAUAAGCCAGCUUGACUGCGAGCGUGACGGCGCGAGCAGGUGCGAAAGCAGGUCAUAGUGAUCCGGUGGUUCUGAAUGGAAGGGCCAUCGCUCAACGGAUAAAAGGUACUCCGGGGAUAACAGGCUGAUACCGCCCAAGAGUUCAUAUCGACGGCGGUGUUUGGCACCUCGAUGUCGGCUCAUCACAUCCUGGGGCUGAAGUAGGUCCCAAGGGUAUGGCUGUUCGCCAUUUAAAGUGGUACGCGAGCUGGGUUUAGAACGUCGUGAGACAGUUCGGUCCCUAUCUGCCGUGGGCGCUGGAGAACUGAGGGGGGCUGCUCCUAGUACGAGAGGACCGGAGUGGACGCAUCACUGGUGUUCGGGUUGUCAUGCCAAUGGCACUGCCCGGUAGCUAAAUGCGGAAGAGAUAAGUGCUGAAAGCAUCUAAGCACGAAACUUGCCCCGAGAUGAGUUCUCCCUGAGACUUAGAGUCUCCUGAAGGAACGUUGAAGACGACGACGUUGAUAGGCCGGGUGUGUAAGCGCAGCGAUGCGUUGAGCUAACCGGUACUAAUGAACCGUGAGGCUUAACCUUACA